AACAGGAUUAGAUACCCUGGUAGUNCACGCCNUUAACGAUGAGUGCUAAGUGUUGGAGGGUUUCCGCCCUUCAGUGCUGCAGCAAACGCAUUAAGCACUCCGCCUGGGGAGUACGACCGCAAGGUUGAAACUCAAAGGAAUUGACGGGGGCCCGCACAAGCGGUGGAGCAUGUGGUUUAAUUCGAAGCAACGCGAAGAACCUUACCAGGUCUUGACAUCCUUUGACCACUCUAGAGAUAGAGCUUUCCCUUCGGGGACAAAGUGACAGGUGGUGCAUGGUGUCNUCAGCUCG
This 292-nucleotide ribosomal RNA is filed under the name Enterococcus faecalis. Its description in RNAcentral is "partial 16S ribosomal RNA". It matches the Rfam family "Bacterial small subunit ribosomal RNA", at positions 771 to 1062 of the family's 1533-position model. Lineage: Bacteria; Bacillati; Bacillota; Bacilli; Lactobacillales; Enterococcaceae. The record is from RNAcentral.